This 397-nucleotide RNase P RNA is filed under the name Porphyromonas circumdentaria. RNAcentral's name for it is "Bacterial RNase P class A". It matches the Rfam family "Bacterial RNase P class A". Rfam says of the family: Ribonuclease P (RNase P) is a ubiquitous endoribonuclease, found in archaea, bacteria and eukarya as well as chloroplasts and mitochondria. The record is from RNAcentral. Lineage: Bacteria; Pseudomonadati; Bacteroidota; Bacteroidia; Bacteroidales; Porphyromonadaceae.
AUAGCAAAUCGGCUUGUCGCUGUCUGAUGUUCUUUUGAAUGGCGGAGAGAGGAAAGUCCGGGCAACAUAGAGCACCAUACUUCCUAACGGGAAGCUCUUUCUCCUUUUUUAUUUCGGAUGAAAUAGUUGGGACAAAGGGAGUAGUGUAACAGAGAAUGACCGCUUCAUUUCGGUGAAGUAAGGGUGAAAAGGUGAGGUAAGAGCUCACCGGAAGGGGUAGUGAUGCCCUUUGCCGUACACCUUAUGGGUUGUAAGAUCAAGUAUACCGAUGUUUGUGAGGGUGGCUCGUCCUCUAUCGGGGGGUAGAUCGCUUGAGCUAUGCGGUGACGCAUGGUCUAGAUUAAUGACAAGCACCGUUUUUACGGUACAGAACCCGGCUUAUAGAUUUGCUAUAUUU